Molecule: ribosomal RNA, 332 nt
Filed under: uncultured Bartonella sp.
Lineage: Bacteria; Pseudomonadati; Pseudomonadota; Alphaproteobacteria; Hyphomicrobiales; Bartonellaceae
Description: bacterial SSU rRNA
Rfam family: Bacterial small subunit ribosomal RNA
Source: RNAcentral
AGUCGAGCGCACUCUUUUAGAGUGAGCGGCAAACGGGUGAGUAACGCGUGGGAAUCUACCCCUCUCUACGGAAUAACACAGAGAAAUUUGUGCUAAUACCGUAUACGUCCCUUUGGGAGAAAGAUUUAUCGGAGAUGGAUGAGCCCGCGUUGGAUUAGCUAGUUGGUGAGGUAACGGCUCACCAAGGCGACGAUCCAUAGCUGGUCUGAGAGGAUGAUCAGCCACACUGGGACUGAGACACGGCCCAGACUCCUACGGGAGGCAGCAGUGGGGAAUAUUGGACAAUGGGGGCAACCCUGAUCCAGCCAUGCCGCGUGAGUGAUGAAGGCCCU